Long non-coding RNA from Hydra vulgaris (swiftwater hydra), 1379 nucleotides. RefSeq lists it as uncharacterized. NCBI's taxonomy places the organism in Eukaryota, Metazoa, Cnidaria, Hydrozoa, Anthoathecata, Hydridae. The record is from RefSeq and is a predicted model, not a curated record.
ACAUAUAAUAUAUGGUAAGUUACUACAUGUAUAAAUCUUGAAAAUUAUGCAAGAAUAUAUGCAAUCCAUAUAGUCUAUAUUAUAGAAAUAAAAGCUCAACUAAUCCUUUACUAGUAGUAAAGGGUUAGUUGAACAAUUAUUUCUAUAAUACAGACUAAAUGGAUUAUUUAUAGUCUUGUUUAACUUUAUAUUUUAGACAUAUGACAUAUUAGUUUAAAUCAGUUGUAAAAUUAAAAAUGUUAACAUCUUUGAUAGGUAUAUUUAUUUAUGUUAGUUACAGCUAAGUUUACAUGGCUAGUUAUUAUGCUUUUAUAAAUUGCAAUUUUUAUUAAUUUCCAAAUUAAACAUGUGGCAUCCAAUAUCAUAAACUAAGAUUAUACUGGUGUGUUUAUGUUAUUUUAGAAUUUUUUGUUUUAGACACAUGGCAUUUGUUAUCCCACUGUAUGUUAAAACUAGUUGUAAAAUUAAAAAAUUUAUAUUGGAACUUCUUUUUCUUUUAACAUUCAUGUUUAUUUAUUUAUACUAUCUUAGAAUUUGCUGCUUUAAAGGCACUGCAUUUAGUGUCAUAUUGUAGGUUUAAAUUGGUUGUAGAAUUUAUAUUGUAACUUGCAUAUUUAUUUAGUUGAGUUUAAUCUAAGUUUAUAUCUGAUGUGUUUGUAUUAUUUUAGAAUUUACUGUUUUAGACACGUGGCAUGUGGUAUCUCACUACACUUGGUAUAAGCUGUCAUACUACACGUGGCAUGUGGUAUCUCACUAAUUAGCUAUUUUAAACAUGUGACAAGUGGUAUGACACUGUGACAAGUGGUAUGACACUGUAUUGAUGUAUGUGAAAUGUAUCGUUAUAGUUAUGUAUAGUCUUUUAGUUAUCAGAUAAUGUCAAGGAGUUGGCAGCAUGGUGUUCGAUUUAAAGUGCGAACCUGUGUACGAGUAACAACAGUAUUCAAAACCAAAACCUAUUUAAACCAACCAAACCAAAACUAGCGACCAAAAACUAUUUUGGCAUUGGUUUAUUUUAAACAUCUAUUAUAUGUGUAAAAAAAAAAAACUAUUUUGGCAUUGGUUUAUUUUAAACAUCUAUUAUAAAUCCGUAAAUUCAACGGACUUAUUUAAUUUAAUAUUUAAAACUUCCUAACGGACUUCAAUUCGUUAAAAUUUUAAUUCGUUAACUUAACGGAUUUCCCGUUAGCAAUAGCGACAGAUACAAUUCGUUGUAUAUAACGGAUUUUUUCUUAGAGUGUAGUUUUAAGGACCUUCUUUUUUUAGUCUUUUUUUCAGUCAAUUUCUUCAAAAUUCUUUAUUUGAAAUAAAGCCCCAUCACUGAUAUUAAGUUUUAAAAGUGCUUUAGAAGGAUUUUAUCUCCUUCAUGAAGACAAUUUAAU